AUUCACAAAGAUCUGGGGAUAUAACAUUUGUUAAAAGAAGUGAAAAGUAUGAAAUGAUACCAGUUGCGAUAUGGCAAGCGUAUCCAAAACCUGCAUGCAAUAUCUUUGUUGGAGUGAGUUAUUAACCUUAACGAAAUUAUACAUUGAUAUAAAAAAUAAUUUGUCAACGAAAAAUUGCUGUUUUACAAUGCAUCUGUAAUGUGAAAUACACAAAAUGUUCAAUGUAUUAUUGAAACUUUUAUAAUGUUAUUUAAAAAAAAGUAUUCCGAAUCUAUAAUAAUUUUUAUGAAGACAAGAAUGGUACUAUUGCCAGAUCAAAAUUCAAUUGCCUUUAAAAAAUCAAUGUUAUGAAUAAUGGAAAUAUUAUCUUUUACUAGAAAUUAUUAUAAAGAAAAACUCACAAAAACCGCAGCCUUUGCACGUUAUAUGAAAUUACCAUAAGUAGCGUUCAUAAAUGUUAAAGGAAAAUGUCCGAUAAAAAGAAAAUUUCCGUUAUGCAGACUCUUUUAUGUGAUGAAAUAGGCAUGAUACAUAACCUAUGUUUAAUUUGUAGAAUUCUAAAAUAAAAGAAAGGUACGAAUCUACGUUUGAGAGGGUGUCAAUAUUCUACAAAGUGACAUUGAGUUUCUCAUAUGGAACUCUAAGCAAAUACUGUUAUGAAAGUCUUCUAAUCACCUGUGAUGUUGGUACGACUGCAUUUAAUUAUACUGUACCCAUUCAAUGUGAAG
This 728-nucleotide long non-coding RNA is filed under the name Mytilus galloprovincialis (Mediterranean mussel). Lineage: Eukaryota; Metazoa; Mollusca; Bivalvia; Mytilida; Mytilidae. The record is from RNAcentral.